This 355-nucleotide ribosomal RNA is filed under the name uncultured organism. Its description in RNAcentral is "bacterial LSU rRNA". It matches the Rfam family "Bacterial large subunit ribosomal RNA", at positions 2099 to 2465 of the family's 2925-position model. The record is from RNAcentral.
CUUUACUGCAACCUGGAAUUGAAUUUGGGUUUUUUUUGUGCAGUAUAGGUGGGAGAUUAUAAUUUUAUUUAUAGUCGUUAGUGAGAUACCACCCUUAAAAAGCUAGAAUUCUAAGAGCGUUCCUUGAAACAGGACGCUUAACAGUUCUUGGUGGGCAGUUUGACUGGGGCGGUCAUCUCUUAAAAGGUAACAGAGAUGUGCAAAGGUUCCUUCAGGCUGGAUGGAAAUCAGUUGUAGAGUGUAAAGGCAUAAGGGAGCUUGACUGUAAGACUUACAAGUCAAACAGAGGCGAAAGCCGGCCUUAGUGAUCCGACGGUACCGUGUGGAAGGGCCGUCGCUAAACGGAUAAAAGUUA